RNAcentral lists this ribosomal RNA (302 nucleotides) under uncultured bacterium. Its description in RNAcentral is "partial 16S ribosomal RNA". It matches the Rfam family "Bacterial small subunit ribosomal RNA", at positions 508 to 807 of the family's 1533-position model. The record is from RNAcentral.
GCAGCCGCCGCGGUAAAACGAGGGGAGCUAGCGUUAUUCGGAAUUACUAGGCGUAAAGCGCACGUAGGCGGCUUUGUAAGUUAGAGGUGAAAGCCCAGAGCUCAACUCUGGAAUUGCCUUUAAGACUGCAUCGCUUGAAUCCAGGAGAGGUGAGUGGAAUUCCGAGUGUAGAGGUGAAAUUCGUAGAUAUUCGGAAGAACACCAGUGGCGAAGGCGGCUCACUGGACUGGUAUUGACGCUGAGGUGCGAAAGUGUGGGGAGCAAACAGGAUUAGAUACCCGCGUAGUCCCUGUCUCUUAUAC